UUGAGUUUGUUCAUGGCUCAGAUUGAACGCUGGCGGCAGGCCUAACACAUGCAAGUCGAGCGGAUGAGAAGAGCUUGCUCUUCGAUUCAGCGGCGGACGGGUGAGUAAUGCCUAGGAAUCUGCCUGGUAGUGGGGGACAACGUUUCGAAAGGAACGCUAAUACCGCAUACGUCCUACGGGAGAAAGCAGGGGACCUUCGGGCCUUGCGCUAUCAGAUGAGCCUAGGUCGGAUUAGCUAGUUGGUGAGGUAAUGGCUCACCAAGGCGACGAUCCGUAACUGGUCUGAGAGGAUGAUCAGUCACACUGGAACUGAGACACGGUCCAGACUCCUACGGGAGGCAGCAGUGGGGAAUAUUGGACAAUGGGCGAAAGCCUGAUCCAGCCAUGCCGCGUGUGUGAAGAAGGUCUUCGGAUUGUAAAGCACUUUAAGUUGGGAGGAAGGGCAUUAACCUAAUACGUUAGUGUUUUGNCGUUNCUGACAGNAUAUCCAGUCCAGCGCC
Molecule: ribosomal RNA, 500 nt
Filed under: uncultured bacterium
Lineage: Bacteria
Description: bacterial SSU rRNA
Rfam family: Bacterial small subunit ribosomal RNA
Source: RNAcentral